Non-coding RNA from Edwardsiella ictaluri 93-146, 39 nucleotides. NCBI's taxonomy places the organism in Bacteria, Pseudomonadati, Pseudomonadota, Gammaproteobacteria, Enterobacterales, Hafniaceae. The record is from Rfam.
CAGUGCAUUGGUAGCUGUAGAGCCAAGGGCGGUAGCGUA